AUACUUACCUGGCAAAAGAGAGAUCUUGAUCACAAAGGUGGGUUUCCCAGGGCAGGGUCUAUCCAUGCACUCGGGAUAUACGGACCCUGCGAUUUCCCCAAAUGUAAGAAACUCGACUGCUGAAAAUGGCCAAACUGUGCUUUGUUUUGCUUUGGG
Small nuclear RNA from Molossus molossus (Pallas's mastiff bat), 156 nucleotides. RefSeq annotates it as U1 spliceosomal RNA. The transcript has a single exon. The record is from RefSeq and is a predicted model, not a curated record. Lineage: Eukaryota; Metazoa; Chordata; Mammalia; Chiroptera; Molossidae.